This is a transfer RNA of Camelus ferus (Wild Bactrian camel), 72 nucleotides long. It matches the Rfam family "tRNA". From Rfam's summary of the family: Transfer RNA (tRNA) molecules are approximately 80 nucleotides in length. Their secondary structure includes four short double-helical elements and three loops (D, anti-codon, and T loops). Lineage: Eukaryota; Metazoa; Chordata; Mammalia; Artiodactyla; Camelidae. The record is from Rfam.
GUGGGUGUAGUUCAGUGAUAGGGCACAUGCUUAGCAUGCAUGAGAUCCUGGGUUCAAACCACAGCACCUUCA